Molecule: long non-coding RNA, 1621 nt
Filed under: Mytilus galloprovincialis (Mediterranean mussel)
Lineage: Eukaryota; Metazoa; Mollusca; Bivalvia; Mytilida; Mytilidae
Source: RNAcentral
GCAAAACAUAGUAAAAGAAAUUUUAGUUUUUAAAAUGAUCUAGAAUGUUGUUAAAUUAUUAAUAUCAUUCAUUGUGUAAAAGUAAAAUAAAAUUAAAACUUGUAGCAGAUAGAAUAAUACACUGAUGAAAGAUUAUGGAUUGGUGUGAAUAAGCAUCAGAGGAUAUUGUAAACAAACUAAUUUUUGUGUCGUUUUUUUCUCUCUAUAAAAUGAAUCAAACAAAUCAAAACAAACCAACAAAAUCAGAAAAUUACAAAAAUGUGUCUCUAUUAAAUUGGCUGAAAAGAAAGAAAAGAAAAUAAGUUUACAAAAGUAAACUAUCUUAGUAUCAAAUACCAAAAUGUUAAAAUUUGUUGUACAUGUAACUGACCAAAAUAAAAACAAAAACACAUUGCAUGACUUUAAAGCUAUGUGCAAAAUAUUAAAAAGCUAGAAAAUCCCAGAGGAAAUUGUUAUGAAUGAACAUUGGCAGACACGUGAACAGAUGUUAACCUGUAUGUUGGCAAAUUAGAUAAUGUUAUUGAACUCUACUGUUCUUGUACUGACAAUAUACUUUAGUGUUGAUGUUAGGGUAAGGCUUAUAGUUAGCGAUCAAGCUUAGCUGUUAGGGAUAGCAGUCAGGCUUAGCUGUUAGGGAUAGCAGUCAGGCUUAGCUGUUAGGGAUAGCUGUUAGGCUUAGCUGUUAGGGAUAGCUGUUAGGUUUAGCUGUUAUGGAUAGUGGUCAGGCUUAGCUGUUAGAGAUAACAGUCAGGCUUAGCUGUUAAGGAUAGUGGUCAGGCUUAGCUGUUAGGGAUAACAGUCAGGCUUAGCUGUUAGGGAUAGCGGUCAGGUUUAGCUGUUAGAGAUAACAGUCAGGCUUAGCUGUUAGGGAUAGCGGUCAGGCUAAGCUGUUAGGGAUAGCGGUCAGGCUUAGCUGUUAGCAAUAGCAGUCAGGCUUAGCUGUUAGAGAUAGUGGUCAGGCUUAGCUGUUUGGGAUAGUAGACAGAAUUAUCGGUUUGGGUUAGGGUUAACUCUGUUUAUAAUUUAAAUUUGCUUGUACUUAUUAUCAUACGAAAUAAACAGGAUGAAAUCUGUUUUCCAGGUUUUCUUGAUACAACUCAAAAACUAUCAUCCCGGGACUUCUAACUAUUACAAUUGGAAAACAAACACUGUCUAUUUUCAAAUUAAAAUAUGGUCAUUCAAAUAGGUAAAGUUUUUGACACAUGACAAACUUCAGAUUAAGUUCGAUGAGGAAGACUUGGAUUUACAAGAAUUGUAAAAUCAGCAUAACAAAGAUCACCAAAAAAACUUCAAAUAUAAAAAAAAAAUCUUUAUGUACCGUUAAUGGCUCAACAUAAAAUAUCAUAACAAUAUAACAAUAACAUAAUAUCAAGCAGAUUUCAACAUAAAAAGUUAGUACACUCAAUAAGUUUCAGUCAAAGAUUUUUAAGUAAGAAACAACACACAACAAAAAGUUAAUAAAAAACCGGAGAUUCUUGUAUUGCACAUCAAACAUAUUUACAGAAAUUACUGCAAAACUGUGUUUUAAUCAGAAUCUUUGUAAAAUGCAACGAACACAUAAUGUAUGUAUAAAACCUUUGUUUAUUAUACCACUCUAUUGUAAUUUGUAAUUUACACUACU